GAUGAAGAACGCAGCGAAAUGCGAUAAGUAGUGUGAAUUGCAGAAUUCAGUGAAUCAUCGAAUCUUUGAACGCACAUUGCGCCCGCCAGUAUUCUGGCGGGCAUGCCUGUUCGAGCGUCAUUUCAACCCUCAAGCCCCCGGGUUUGGUGUUGGGGAUCGGGCUGUACUCCAGCCCGGCCCCGAAAUCUAGUGGCGGUCUCGCUGCAGCCUCCAUUGCGUAGUAGCUAACACCUCGCAACUGGAACGCGGCGCGGCCAAGCCGUUAAACCCCCAACUUCUGAAUGUUGACCUCGGAUCAGGUAGGAAUACCCGCUGAACUUAAGCAUAUCAAUAAGCGGAGGA
Molecule: unclassified non-coding RNA, 342 nt
Filed under: soil metagenome
Description: partial contains 5.8S ribosomal RNA, internal transcribed spacer 2, and large subunit ribosomal RNA
Rfam family: 5.8S ribosomal RNA (bases 1-120)
Source: RNAcentral